GAUGAACGCUGACAGAAUGCUUAACACAUGCAAGUCAACUUGAACUUCGGUUUGGGUGGCGGACGGGUGAGUAACGCGUAAAGAACUUGCCUCACAGUUAGGGACAACAUUUGGAAACGAAUGCUAAUACCUGAUAUUAUGAUUUUAGGGCAUCCUAGAAUUAUGAAAGCUAUAUGCGCUGUGAGAGAGCUUUGCGUCCCAUUAGCUAGUUGGAGAGGUAACGGCUCACCAAGGCGAUGAUGGGUAGCCGGCCUGAGAGGGUGAACGGCCACAAGGGGACUGAGACACGGCCCUUACUCCUACGGGAGGCAGCAGUGGGGAAUAUUGGACAAUGGACCAAGAGUCUGAUCCAGCAAUUCUGUGUGCACGAUGAAGUUUUUCGGAAUGUAAGGUGCUUUCAGUUGGGAAGAAAAAAAUGACGAUACCAACAGAAGAAGUGACGGCUAAAUACGUG
This 454-nucleotide ribosomal RNA is filed under the name uncultured bacterium. RNAcentral's name for it is "partial 16S ribosomal RNA". It matches the Rfam family "Bacterial small subunit ribosomal RNA", at positions 28 to 507 of the family's 1533-position model. The record is from RNAcentral.